UACGUAGGGUGCAAGCGUUAAUCGGAAUUACUGGGCGUAAAGCGUGCGUAGGUGGUUUGUUAAGUCUGAUGUGAAAGCCCUGGGCUCAACCUGGGAACUGCAUUGGAAACUGGCUGACUAGAGUGCGGUAGAGGGGUGUGGAAUUCCCGGUGUAGCAGUGAAAUGCGUAGAUAUCGGGAGGAACAUCUGUGGCGAAGGCGACACCCUGGACCAGCACUGACACUGAGGCACGAAAGCGUGGGGAGCAAACAGG
This 253-nucleotide ribosomal RNA is filed under the name uncultured bacterium. RNAcentral describes it as "partial 16S ribosomal RNA". It matches the Rfam family "Bacterial small subunit ribosomal RNA", at positions 524 to 776 of the family's 1533-position model. The record is from RNAcentral.